AUGCCCACUGCCGCCUGUGACCACCACAGCGCCGCGUCACGCCGCCGACUCCGAGUCUGCUUCAUCGUCUCCCUCGCCGUACUCCUCCUCCUCGUUGUGGCCGUCGCCGUGCUGGCCAUCACGGCGCUCCGCCCGCACCCGGCCGACACCACCAUCUCUACGAUCCGGCUCACCUCCGUGUCUCUCUCCCCUUCCCGACUCUCCCUCAACGUGACGCUCGACGUCGUCCUCUCCAUCCGCAACCCCAGCCCCGUCGCGUCCUUCACGCAUGACGC
Molecule: ribosomal RNA, 275 nt
Filed under: Triticum aestivum (bread wheat)
Lineage: Eukaryota; Viridiplantae; Streptophyta; Magnoliopsida; Poales; Poaceae
Description: partial small subunit ribosomal RNA
Source: RNAcentral